GAUGAACGCUGGCGGCGUGCCUAAUACAUGCAAGUCGAGCGAACAGAUAAGGAGCUUGCUCCUUUGACGUUAGCGGCGGACGGGUGAGUAACACGUGGAUAACCUACCUAUAAGACUGGGAUAACUUCGGGAAACCGGAGCUAAUACCGGAUAACUUAUUGAACCGCAUGGUUCAAUAGUGAAAGGCGGCUUUGCUGUCACUUAUAGAUGGAUCCGCGCCGUAUUAGCUAGUUGGUAAGGUAACGGCUUACCAAGGCAACGAUACGUAGCCGACCUGAGAGGGUGAUCGGCCACACUGGAACUGAGCCACGGUCCAGACUCCUACGGGAGGCAGCAGUAGGGAAUCUUCCGCAAUGGGCGAAAGCCUGACGGAGCAACGCCGCGUGAGUGAUGAAGGUCUUCGGAUCGUAAAACUCUGUUAUCAGGGAAGAACAAAUGUGUAAGUAACUGUGCACAUCUUGACGGUACCUGAUCAGAAAGCCACGGCUAACUACGUG
RNAcentral lists this ribosomal RNA (497 nucleotides) under uncultured bacterium. Its description in RNAcentral is "partial 16S ribosomal RNA". It matches the Rfam family "Bacterial small subunit ribosomal RNA", at positions 28 to 507 of the family's 1533-position model. The record is from RNAcentral.